GUGGGGAAUUGUUCACAAUGGGCGCAAGCCUGAUGACGCAACGCCGCGUGGGGGAUGAAGGUCUUCGGAUUGUAAACCCCUGUCGAAUGGGACGAAUGGCCCGGGUACUAAUAAGGCCCGGGAAUGACGGUACCGUUAAAGGAAGCCACGGCUAACUCUGUGCCAGCAGCCGCGGUAAUACAGAGGUGGCAAGCGUUGUUCGGAAUUACUGGGCGUAAAGGGCGCGUAGGCGGCCUUCUAAGUCAGACGUGAAAUCCCCCGGCUUAACCUGGGAACUGCGUCUGAUACUGGGAGGCUUGAGUAUGGGAGAGGGAUGUAGAAUUCCAGGUGUAGCGGUGAAAUGCGUAGAUAUCUGGAGGAAUACCGGUGGCGAAGGCGGCAUCCUGGACCAUAACUGACGCUGAGGCGCGAAAGCUAGGGGAGCAAACGGGAUUAGAAACCCGAGUAGUCC
RNAcentral lists this ribosomal RNA (451 nucleotides) under uncultured bacterium. RNAcentral describes it as "bacterial SSU rRNA". It matches the Rfam family "Bacterial small subunit ribosomal RNA", at positions 354 to 796 of the family's 1533-position model. The record is from RNAcentral.